RNAcentral lists this ribosomal RNA (253 nucleotides) under uncultured bacterium. RNAcentral describes it as "partial 16S ribosomal RNA". It matches the Rfam family "Bacterial small subunit ribosomal RNA", at positions 524 to 776 of the family's 1533-position model. The record is from RNAcentral.
UACGGAGGGUGCAAGCGUUGUUCGGAAUUACUGGGCGUGAAGAGCGUGUAGGCGGCUGACCAAGUCCGGUGUGAAAGCCCGAGGCUUACCCCCGGAAGUGCGCUGGAAACUGGUCGACUAGAGUAUGGGAGAGGGAAGUGGAAUUCCUGGUGUAGCGGUGAAAUGCGUAGAUAUCAGGAGGAACACCGGCGGCGAAGGCGGCUUCCUGGACCAAUACUGACGCUGAGACGCCAAAGCGUGGGGAGCAAACAGG